UGUGCAGAAUUGUACCCCUCUCAUUCUAUGGUUUUGUUAAUGUCUCCUUUCUUAAAUAAAUAAAUAAUUAGUAAAUAAAAUAAAUAUUUUAAAAAUUAAAAAAAAGCAGAAAAAAUGGCUGUCAGGAGUGGUGGAUUCAUAGUGCAGGCACAGCUUAGCAAUAACAGUGGUGGAAAAAAUAAAUAAAUAAAAUUAAAUCUAGACUAUAGAUUAGUUUAGUGUUGACAUAAUGUUUUAUGUCUUGACUGUAAUAAUUGUAUUGUGAUUAUGCUCUUUGAAAAUACACACCAAGACAGUUGGAAGACAAAAGCAUGAUGAUCUCUCUCGAUAUGUGAAUUGUGACUAUAUAUAAAAACAUGUACACAGAAUAAUUAAACAAAAUAACUAGUGAAUUAAAUUUUCUACAAGAGUACCUUACACUAUGUUUGUAACAUCCUUAUUAAGUUGGAGAAUAUCAGUCAACAUUAUUAAGACUUUUCCAGUGAUAGGUGAGCAGUAAAGACUCUGACAGGUCUGAGUCUGGGGGAGGUGUGCCCACUGCUGUCCUUAUCACCCUUCGGUGCAGGCAGCCAGGCCUCUGACCCCCUAGUGGACGGGGUGCACAGCUCAGGUGCAGGUUGACCACAGACUACGGCCCUAAGACAAAGGUAAGACAUAAGUAUUGUGACAGCAAUACAGAUCAGGAUGGUCCCCACAGUUCUAUAUUUUACUAAGUUAAACAUGAGACCUUGACUUCUAAGGCUCAAUUUUGCUUCUCUGUAAAAUGGGAACAGUGAUUUGUAGAAUGAGAUUGACCUGACUCAACACAGACUGAGCAGCUAAGGUGACCUCUGUUGCACUAGGGGGAGGGGUGUGUGUGUAUGUGUGUGUGUGGGUCAACAAAUUCUCAUGUUGCCUGACAAGUAGAUGAAUCCCAAGGGGGGCCUCACACUGUUUAUUCUAGCAUCUGUUCUGUGUCUCCUUCCAGCUCCAACAAUGUUGUUAUUCCUCUUCCACCAAAUCACAUUCUUCAACUUCAUCAUUGCCUGGUUUAUCUCCACCCCACACCCAUUCCCAGAUCUUCCCAAAUUAUCAUCCCUGUGCUAGUGAGUUCAUUUAUGGCAGGACAGCCUGUACUUCUGUCAGUCAUCUCCUUCCUGUCCUUUGGAGUAGGGAAGAUAGACCUGGCUUUUUCCUCACAAACUCAGAGGCUGGCAGCUCCUGCAAGCUGAGGCUGCAGAUGAGUACUGUCUGCUCUACCUGACACAACUCAGAAGACCCUACACCCCACCAGCUGGGUGGGGUAAGUGCCAGAGAGAGUUUGGCCAUGACUUGAUUGACAAGGAAACCACUCAGCCUUCCCUGGGUCACACCUCUCCUUCUCCAGGGCAAAGAGUUCAGGCCUGGUGUCUGCUGAUUAUCUCCGGGUUGUUUUUCUCCUUUCCUGCUCUCCUCUGCCCCACUCAACCCCUACAGGGCCUCACUGGAAUGGAUGUGCCAGAGCUACAGUCCGGACAUUGCAGACCCUAGAGCUCAAAGUGCACAAACUAUUGCUUUGUCCCCCAGGAGAGACUCCUUUCUCAAGAUGGGCACUGGAAGAUCUUCAGACCAGAUGGAAGACCUCUGGCCUCUGGAAAGGUGGUCAGCAAGCUUCACUCUGCAAUGAGUCUUAAAUCCUUUGUGGAGUCUUCUGCUACCUAUGUCCAAAGCAGAUUCAGAGACCUGGGAGAUAGCUUGCCCAGUGGAAUGUCUACUUUAUCAUGGGGGAGGUCCCAGGUUUAUGCCCUGACACUACAUGAGAGCACUACAGCACCAGGGGAAGCCCCGUGAAUGAUGGGGCAGUGCUAGGAUGUAUCUCUCUGUCUCUGUCUCUCUCUCUCUAAAAAA
This is a long non-coding RNA of Erinaceus europaeus (western European hedgehog), 1866 nucleotides long. RefSeq lists it as uncharacterized. The record is from RefSeq and is a predicted model, not a curated record. NCBI's taxonomy places the organism in Eukaryota, Metazoa, Chordata, Mammalia, Eulipotyphla, Erinaceidae. The transcript has 3 exons.